CUAUUUCAUUUUUUCAAAGUGCUUUUAAAUGUAUUUUUUUUUCUUUUUCUUUUAGUGCAAAGAAUGGAAAUGGAUAUACUGAUGUUUUCACCCCAGACACCACCUCUGAAAGAAUGGAGUAACGAGCCUCAUUCAGAAGUUGCACUGCUGAUACCCAGAACUCAGGUUCUUUUCUAAACACCUCACAAAUUACUUCUCUCUGGUGAAUAUGGAAAUGAAAGACUUGUUUCCUUUAAAGGCUGAAUUCUACUGUUUCGGUGCUGAAAGUGAAAUGGACUAGAAUGCCACGUCAAAUCACCUGAAAAUAAAAAAGGACCUG
RNAcentral lists this long non-coding RNA (319 nucleotides) under Dasypus novemcinctus (nine-banded armadillo). Its description in RNAcentral is "lncRNA (ENSDNOG00000050242.1)". The record is from RNAcentral. Lineage: Eukaryota; Metazoa; Chordata; Mammalia; Cingulata; Dasypodidae.